This is a long non-coding RNA of Sinocyclocheilus anshuiensis, 277 nucleotides long. RefSeq lists it as uncharacterized. The record is from RefSeq and is a predicted model, not a curated record. The transcript is spliced from 3 exons. NCBI's taxonomy places the organism in Eukaryota, Metazoa, Chordata, Actinopteri, Cypriniformes, Cyprinidae.
GAGAUCUGAUAUUUCACCAGACAAGUGCACUUACUGACAUCCACUUCACUGUCAGUCCAAAGCCUCUACAUUAAUGGGUGCACAGUAGCAGUUGCAGUUAGAUUGGAGUUACCGAAACAUCCACACUUUGGACAUUUCUGCCAUUAUCCAUGCUGCAGAUGAAGCCCUCAUCCCAGAAUGCAUUGAGGAGACAAUGCCCAUGAUAGACCAGGGGACAUCAGGAUCGUCAAUGAGGGCCAGAUAAUCUUACAGUUAUUUGGAUAACUUGGCAUUAGCU